GUCCACGCCCUAAACGAUGCCGACUGGACGUUGGGAGGAACUUGCCUCUCAGUGUCGAAGCUAACGCGUUAAGUCGGCCGCCUGGGGAGUACGGUCGCAAGACUGAAACUCAAAGGAAUUGACGGGGCCCGCACAAGCGGUGGAGUAUGUGGUUUAAUUCGAUGCAACGCGCAGAACCUUACCUGGCCUUGACAUGUCCGGAAUCCUGCCGAGAGGUGGGAGUGCCUUCGGGAAUCGGAACACAGGUGCUGCAUGGCUGUCGU
Molecule: ribosomal RNA, 263 nt
Filed under: uncultured bacterium
Lineage: Bacteria
Description: partial 16S ribosomal RNA
Rfam family: Bacterial small subunit ribosomal RNA
Source: RNAcentral